This 322-nucleotide ribosomal RNA is filed under the name uncultured eukaryote. Its description in RNAcentral is "partial 18S ribosomal RNA". It matches the Rfam family "Eukaryotic small subunit ribosomal RNA", at positions 1470 to 1796 of the family's 1831-position model. The record is from RNAcentral.
CCCUUAGAUGUUCUGGGCCGCACGCGUGCUACACUGAGUAAUUCAAUGGGUAAGGGAACGCUAGAGCAUUACCUAAUCUUGAAAUUUGCUCGUGAUGGGGAUCGACGGUUGCAAUUUUCCGUCGUGAACGAGGAAUACCUUGUAGGCGCAUGUCAUCAUCAUGCGCCGAAUACGUCCCUGCCCUUUGUACACACCGCCCGUCGCUCCUACCGAUUGAGUGACCCGGUGAGGCUCUGGGACCUGGACGGAAAGAGCGUUUCGCUUGUUCUGUUUGGGAAACUUGGUCGAACCUUAUCAUUUAGAGGAAGGAGAAGUCGUAACA